Pollicipes pollicipes is the source of this 221-nucleotide long non-coding RNA. RefSeq lists it as uncharacterized. The transcript is spliced from 3 exons. Lineage: Eukaryota; Metazoa; Arthropoda; Thecostraca; Pollicipedomorpha; Pollicipedidae. The record is from RefSeq and is a predicted model, not a curated record.
CGCCUGCUCGACACGCACGUGUGUACCGGCCGGCUGACCGGGCGCCGCCGCCGGCCACCAUGAGGCUCUCCGGCUCGCUCAGAUGGCUGCUGUUGCUGGCGAUGAUCUUCGCAGAGCUUCAGCAGAGCACUGUGAUGGCGAGAAGGAAGCACCGGAUCCGCCAUAACGUGCAGCGGCGGCUGAAGCGGCAGCAGAGCAGUCAAGUGUACGCCUACUCGGCC